Long non-coding RNA from Pseudophryne corroboree (corroboree frog), 476 nucleotides. RefSeq lists it as uncharacterized. NCBI's taxonomy places the organism in Eukaryota, Metazoa, Chordata, Amphibia, Anura, Myobatrachidae. The record is from RefSeq and is a predicted model, not a curated record. The transcript has 3 exons.
UUUGCACUCAGCCUGAGAUCCUGUGUAUAUAAGGUGCAGACCAGCUGGAUACUUCAUUCAGCAACACAGAAUAAGAUCCAUCUGCCAGACAUCUGUAUCCGCAGCAGCAAUGGACCCUCAGGACUGUAACUGCACAAAAGGUGCCUCCUGUUCCUGCAGAGAUUCCUGCCAGUGUCAGAACUGCAAUUGUGCAUCAUGCAAGAAAAGCUGCUGCUCCUGCUGUCGGGGUGAGUGCAGUAAGUGCAGCCAGGGCUGUGUGUGCACAGAGGGAUGUGGGACCUGCAGCUGCUGCCAGUGACCUGUUCUGCACUUAAGAUGGACUCUACUACUAUCUGACCCCUAUAGUGUGUCUUAUAUUUCUCUAAUGAGUGUGAUGUAUGCAGUAUCUAUGUAAUGCCUAUUACAGUAUGCAUUCUCAAUGUAAUGUCUAAUACACUGAUCCAGAUUGGUUUUCUUAUUAAAAUGUAUAUGAACUA